GCCUAAUCAUGCAAGUCGAGCGGACAGAUGGGAGCUUGCUCCCUGAUGUUAGCGGCGGACGGGUGAGUAACACGUGGGUAACCUGCCUGUAAGACUGGGAUAACUCCGGGAAACCGGGGCUAAUACCGGAUGCUUGUUUGAACCGCAUGGUUCAAACAUAAAAGGUGGCUUCGGCUACCACUUACAGAUGGACCCGCGGCGCAUUAGCUAGUUGGUGAGGUAAUGGCUCACCAAGGCAACG
RNAcentral lists this ribosomal RNA (241 nucleotides) under Bacillus sp. LT52. Its description in RNAcentral is "partial 16S ribosomal RNA". It matches the Rfam family "Bacterial small subunit ribosomal RNA", at positions 50 to 278 of the family's 1533-position model. The record is from RNAcentral. Lineage: Bacteria; Bacillati; Bacillota; Bacilli; Caryophanales; Bacillaceae.